AUGCACGCUAGCGGCAGGCCUAACACAUGCAAGUCGAGGGAGAAGCCUUUCGGGGCAGAAACCGGCGCACGGGUGCGUAACGCGUAUGCAACCUACCUUUCACAGGGGGAUAGCCCGAAGAAAUUUGGAUUAAUACCCCAUAAUAUUGUUGGAUGGCAUCAUCUGAUAAUUAAAACUGCGGUGGUGAAAGAUGGGCAUGCGUCCUAUUAGCUAGUUGGAGUGGUAACGGCACCCCAAGGCUACGAUAGGUAGGGGUCCUGAGAGGGAGAUCCCCCACACUGGUACUGAGACAGGGACCAGACUCCUACGGGAGGCAGCAGUGAGGAAUAUUGGUCAAUGGUCGGAAGACUGAACCAGCCAUGCCGCGUGCAGGAAGAAUGCCUUAUGGGUUGUAAACUGCUUUUAUAUGGGAAGAAUAAGGUGUACGUGUACAUUGAUGACGGUACCAUAUGAAUAAGCAUCGGCUAACUCCGUG
RNAcentral lists this ribosomal RNA (475 nucleotides) under uncultured bacterium. RNAcentral's name for it is "partial 16S ribosomal RNA". It matches the Rfam family "Bacterial small subunit ribosomal RNA", at positions 29 to 507 of the family's 1533-position model. The record is from RNAcentral.